AAGAAAGUAAAUAAGGGCGCAUGGCGGAUGCCUUGGCUCUCGGAGGCGAUGAAGGACGUGAUAAGCUGCGAUAAGCUUCGGGUAGGUGCAAAUAACCUUUGAUCCGAAGAUUUCCGAAUGGGACAACCCGGCAUUCUGAAGGAAUGUCAUCCAACCAAGUUGGAGGCUAACGCAGGGAACUGAAACAUCUUAGUACCUGCAGGAAAAGAAAAUAAAUAAUGAUUCCCCUAGUAGUGGCGAGCGAACGGGGAAUAGCCCAAACCAUUCAUGUUACGGCAUGUGUGGGGUUGUAGGACCACGCUCUCGCAAGAAAGUUAUUGAGAAGAAGCGGCUGGAAAGCCGCGCCAUAGACGGUGAUAGCCCGGUAUUCUAAGGUAACUGAAGCGUAGUGGUAUCCUGAGUAGCGCGGAGCACGAGGAAUUCUGCGUGAACCAGCCGGGACCAUCCGGUAAGGCUAAAUACUCCCGAGAGACCGAUAGCGAACCAGUACUGUGAAGGAAAGGUGAAAAGCACUUCGAAUAGAAGAGUGAAAUAGUCCCUGAAACCAUGCGCCUACAAG
This 559-nucleotide ribosomal RNA is filed under the name Bacteroides hominis. RNAcentral's name for it is "partial 23S ribosomal RNA". It matches the Rfam family "Bacterial large subunit ribosomal RNA", at positions 1 to 570 of the family's 2925-position model. The record is from RNAcentral. Lineage: Bacteria; Pseudomonadati; Bacteroidota; Bacteroidia; Bacteroidales; Bacteroidaceae.